UACAGAGGGGGCAAGCGUUGUUCGGAAUUACUGGGCGUAAAGGGCGCGUAGGCGGCCUGUUAAGUCGAACGUGAAAUCCCCGGGCUCAACCCGGGAACUGCGUCCGAUACUGGCAGGCUUGAAUUCGGGAGAGGGAUGCGGAAUUCCAGGUGUAGCGGUGAAAUGCGCAGAUAUCAGGAGGAACACCGGUGGCGAAGGCGGAUCUCUGGGCCUUACCUGACGCUCAGGUGCGAAAGCUAGGGGAGCGAACAGG
This 253-nucleotide ribosomal RNA is filed under the name uncultured bacterium. RNAcentral's name for it is "partial 16S ribosomal RNA". It matches the Rfam family "Bacterial small subunit ribosomal RNA", at positions 524 to 776 of the family's 1533-position model. The record is from RNAcentral.